CGGAAGAGGAUGGGCAUGCGGCGCAUUAGCUAGACGGCGGGGUAACGGCCCACCGUGGCGACGAUGCGUAGGGGUUCUGAGAGGAAGGUCCCCCACACUGGUACUGAGACACGGACCAGACUCCUACGGGAGGCAGCAGUGAGGAAUAUUGGUCAAUGGAAGAGAUCCUGAACCAGCCAAGCCGCGUGAGGGAAGACGGCCCUAUGGGUUGUAAACCUCUUUUGUCGGAGAACAAAACCCGGGACGUGUCCCGGACUGCGUGUAUCCGAAGAAAAAGCAUCGGCUAACUCCGUGCCAGCAGCCGCGGUAAUACGGAGGAUGCGAGCGUUAUCCGGAUUUAUUGGGUUUAAAGGGUGCGUAGGCGGUCCGUUAAGUCAGCGGUAAAAUUGCGGGGCUCAACCCCGUCGAGCCGUUGAAACUGGCAGACUUGAGUUGGCGAGAAGUACGCGGAAUGCGCGGUGUAGCGGUGAAAUGCAUAGAUAUCGCGCAGAACUCCGAUUGCGAAGGCAGCGUACCGGCGCCAGACUGACGCUGAGGCACGAAAGCGUGGGGAUCGAACAGGAUUAGAUACCCUGGUAGUCCACGCAGUAAACGAUGAAUGCUGGUUGUCCGGGUCGAAUGAGAUCUGG
Molecule: ribosomal RNA, 629 nt
Filed under: uncultured bacterium
Lineage: Bacteria
Description: bacterial SSU rRNA
Rfam family: Bacterial small subunit ribosomal RNA
Source: RNAcentral